This 433-nucleotide ribosomal RNA is filed under the name uncultured bacterium. RNAcentral describes it as "partial 16S ribosomal RNA". It matches the Rfam family "Bacterial small subunit ribosomal RNA", at positions 29 to 507 of the family's 1533-position model. The record is from RNAcentral.
AACGAACGCUGGCGGCAUGCCUAACACAUGCAAGUCGAACGAGACCUUCGGGUCUAGUGGCGCACGGGUGCGUAACGCGUGGGAAUCUACCCUCAGGUUCGGAAUAACUCAGAGAAAUUUGAGCUAAUACCGGAUGAUGACGUAAGUCCAAAGAUUUAUCGCCUGAGGAUGAGCCCGCGUAGGAUUAGGUAGUUGGUGAGGUAAAGGCUCACCAAGCCGACGAUCCUUAGCUGGUCUGAGAGGAUGAUCAGCCACACUGGGACUGAGACACGGCCCAGACUCCUACGGGAGGCAGCAGUGGGGAAUAUUGGACAAUGGGCGAAAGCCUGAUCCAGCAAUGCCGCGUGAGUGAUGAAGGCCUUAGGGUUGUAAAGCUCUUUUACCCGGGAUGAUAAUGACAGUACCGGGAGAAUAAGCACCGGCUAACUCCGUG